Molecule: ribosomal RNA, 406 nt
Filed under: uncultured bacterium
Lineage: Bacteria
Description: partial 16S ribosomal RNA
Rfam family: Bacterial small subunit ribosomal RNA
Source: RNAcentral
AUUGAACGCUGGCGGCGUGCCUAAUACAUGCAAGUCGAACGAGUGGCGGACGGGUGAGUAACACGUGGGAACCUACCCAUCAGACGGGGAUAACACGUGGAAACAGGUGCUCAUCCCGCAAACUGAAGUAUGUACCAGCUGUGCAUUAGCUAGUGGGUGGGGUAACGGCUCACCAAGGCCACGAUCCCUAGCUGGUCUGAGAGGAUGAUCAGCCACACUGGGACUGAGACACGGCCCAGACUCCUACGGGAGGCAGCAGUGGGGAAUAUUGCACAAUGGGCGCAAGCCUGAUGCAGCCAUGCCGCGUGUAUGAAGAAGGCCCUAGGGUUGUAAAGUACUUUCAGUCGGGAGGCGUUACCGACAGAAGAAGCACCGGCUAACUCCGUGCCAGCAGCCGCGGUAAUUC